GGGGGUGUGGCUCUGGGGUAGAGUGCUCGCCUAGCAUGUGUGAGGCACUGGGUUUGAUUCUCAGCACCACAU
Molecule: transfer RNA, 72 nt
Filed under: Marmota monax (woodchuck)
Lineage: Eukaryota; Metazoa; Chordata; Mammalia; Rodentia; Sciuridae
Description: tRNA.Ala
Source: RNAcentral